GAUGAACGCUGGCGGCGUGCCUAACACAUGCAAGUCGAACGGAGUCCAGCCUUAGAGACCUUCGGGUCAAAGAGGGGAAGACUGAGUGGCGGACGGGUGAGUAACACGUGGGCAACCUGGCUCAUAGAGGGGGAUAACAGAGAGAAAUUUCUGCUAAUACCGCAUAAGCACACACUGCCGCAUGGCAGAGUGUGAAAAGAGAAUCGCUAUGAGAUGGACCCGCGUCUGAUUAGCCAGUUGGCAGGGUAAGAGCCUACCAAAGCGACGAUCAGUAGCCGAUUUGAGAGAAUGAACGGCCACAUUGGGACUGAGACACGGCCCAAACUCCUACGGGAAGCAGCAGUGGGGGAUAUUGCACAAUGGGGGGAACCCUGAUGCAGCGACGCCGCGUGAGUGAAGAAGUAUUUCGGUAUGUAAAGCUCUAUCAGCAGGGAAGAUAAUGACAGUACCUGAAUAAGAAGCCCCGGCUAACUACGUG
This 478-nucleotide ribosomal RNA is filed under the name uncultured bacterium. RNAcentral describes it as "partial 16S ribosomal RNA". It matches the Rfam family "Bacterial small subunit ribosomal RNA", at positions 28 to 507 of the family's 1533-position model. The record is from RNAcentral.